This 206-nucleotide microRNA precursor is filed under the name Oryza sativa Japonica Group (Japanese rice). RNAcentral's name for it is "MIR812 microRNA precursor family". It matches the Rfam family "MIR812 microRNA precursor family". Lineage: Eukaryota; Viridiplantae; Streptophyta; Magnoliopsida; Poales; Poaceae. The record is from Rfam by way of RNAcentral.
AAAAAAACAAACCCUGGGUUUCCGUGUCCAACUUUGACUGUCCGUCUUAUAUGAAAUUUUUUUAUAAUUCGUAUUUUCAUUGUUGUUAGAUGAUAAAACAUGAUUAAUAUUUUAUGCGUGACUUGUCUUUUUAUUUUUUUUUCAUAAUUUUUUUAAAUAAGACGGACGGUCAAACGUUGGACACGGAAACCAGGGUUUGUCUUUUU